GAGUCAAAAAUCAGUAAGACCGGGCAAAAUUGGCUCUUUAAUGUCUUUGCUUUGUUCUUGAUACACAAACAACGAACAAGGAGGGACAGCUGUGGGUACCAAAUUUUGCCCGGGCCCAUUUACCUUUAAAGCCCAAAUUUUUAAACCAAAAAUAAACCCCCAAAGACCAAAAAUAGAACCAAAAUCAAAUAAAAAACAAAAUAAAAACAGACCCAAUUUUGAAGCCCAAAUACUUAACCCUAACCCACAAACCCCAAAACAUUUUCAGCCAGGACCCUAGCCUCCAACUACCUCCAUGCUUCUACUACCCACGUUCUCCACCACCAAGCACGACCCACG
RNAcentral lists this long non-coding RNA (339 nucleotides) under Gossypium barbadense (sea-island cotton). RNAcentral describes it as "long non-coding RNA (GBAR_LNC012033)". The record is from RNAcentral. Lineage: Eukaryota; Viridiplantae; Streptophyta; Magnoliopsida; Malvales; Malvaceae.